RNAcentral lists this unclassified non-coding RNA (373 nucleotides) under uncultured Eubacteriales bacterium. Its description in RNAcentral is "contains 16S-23S intergenic spacer region". Lineage: Bacteria; Bacillati; Bacillota; Clostridia; Eubacteriales. The record is from RNAcentral.
UCCCGGUUAACCCGGGCAGUCUCACUAGAGUGCUCAACUUAAUGGUAGCAACUAAUGAUAAGGGUUGCGCUCGUUGCGGGACUUAACCCAACAUCUCACGACACGAGCUGACGACAACCAUGCACCACCUGUCUUCCUGCCCCGAAGGGCUUCCUCAGUUACGAGUAAUUCAGGAGAUGUCAAGUCUAGGUAAGGUUCUUCGCGUUGCUUCGAAUUAAACCACAUGCUCCGCUGCUUGUGCGGGCCCCCGUCAAUUCCUUUGAGUUUUAAUCUUGCGACCGUACUCCCCAGGCGGGGUACUUAUUGUGUUAACGGCGGCACAGAGGGUUGGACCCCCCUACACCUAGUACCCAUCGUUUACGGCGUGGACUAC